Molecule: long non-coding RNA, 282 nt
Filed under: Theobroma cacao (cacao)
Lineage: Eukaryota; Viridiplantae; Streptophyta; Magnoliopsida; Malvales; Malvaceae
Description: long non-coding RNA (TCAC_LNC005948)
Source: RNAcentral
ACAAUUUCAAAAUUCUUCCUAUCGAUUGCUUGUUCCUUUCUUAUGUUCACUCACUGAGUUUUAUACUCACAUUUUUAAAUUUCAUGUUUUCAUAUUCGAAGGCAGUUGGGACCUAGAUUGAGUUGUCCACGUAUGCUCGCCUUCUUGGUAGGUACAAUGGCAACUCAGUAGUUGUACCUUCACCCACGGUCACUCCGCUGAUGGUCAAGAGUCUGCUACCCGUGAACACUUAUAUGUAAUGUAAUCCGCUAGGAUCCAUGUUGUCAUGACCCAGUACUCCCC